This 72-nucleotide transfer RNA is filed under the name Camelus bactrianus (Bactrian camel). It matches the Rfam family "tRNA". Rfam says of the family: Transfer RNA (tRNA) molecules are approximately 80 nucleotides in length. Their secondary structure includes four short double-helical elements and three loops (D, anti-codon, and T loops). RNAcentral also lists the same sequence under 2 other names. Lineage: Eukaryota; Metazoa; Chordata; Mammalia; Artiodactyla; Camelidae. The record is from Rfam by way of RNAcentral.
AAGGGUAUAGCUCAGUGGUAGGGUGCAUGUCUAGCAUACAUAAGGUCCUGGGUUCAGUCCUCAGUACCUCUA